ACAGAUAGCUGAAUCUGGAAAGAUCUAUGCUGAAGAAAAAGAAGUUCAGGCGAAGCUACUUGAGAGAUCUGUUAAAGAGCUAGAAUGCACCACUAAUGUGCUAUAAACAAGGUUGACAUUCUUAAAGCAGAAGCAGAACGACAAAGAAUGCAGAGAGAAGAGCUCGGAGAUUGAGCUUCAUUCAGUAAAACAUCAGGCAUUUGGAGGAGAAGGAGAGAGGCCUAGAAGAUGCACUGAAUCAUAUACAAAUCCUUGAAAGGUAUAUAUCUAACAAGGAAGCAGAGAUUUCCCAGUUCAAGGCACCUAUCACUGAGCUAAAUUUGCAUUCAGAAGCACAGGCUAGUGAGUAUAAACAGAAGUUCAAGGCAUUGGAAGGCAUGGUUGAACAAGUAAAACCUGAGGGCCAUUUCACUCAUAGCAUGAGCUCUUCGUCGAACAAGUCCGAGAAAAAUGCUGCCAAGUCCAGGGGUUCUGAUUCCCCUUUCAAAUGCAUUGGUUUAGGCUUGGCACAACAAAUAAAAUGUGAGAAGGAUGAGGACCUUGCGGCGGCAAGACUGCGUAUUGAAGAGCUAGAAUCCUUAGCAGUUAAUCGACAGAAAGAGGUAGGCUUUACACUCCAAAUGUAAAUCCAACUUGAUAUUUGUGUCAGAUAAUGUCUCACCAGAAGAUCCUCAUGUUCUAUUUGCAUUAAAUGCCAGAUUGGCUGCUGAUGAGAGAAUGACCCAUGAUGUAAUCCGCGAUUUACUAGGAGUAAAACUAGAUAGGACAAAUUAUGUGGUAAAUUUACGUUGUUCUGCACUGCUCUUUUGUUUAAUCAUGGUUUUUGGCAAUUCAGACCACAUAUAGAAUUGAGACUACGUGUCUCCUUUUUUGUUUUUGGUAAUUUAUAUGAUAAUGUCAGAUAAAGUGCUCAGACAUAAAGCUCUUUCUGCAUUUAAAAAAGGCAAGAGAAAAAAAACAAAAACAAAAGGUAAAGAGAGAGUAGUUUUCAUGAAUGUGUUUGUUCAUGUACCUAUAUGUUAAUGGCAGCCACUGUUAGAUGAUAAACAAGUGGAGAAUAUUGUAGAAAAAGCUCACCUUGGAGCCUCAAGUAAAGGUUUUUUUAGCUUUGGUAUUGCCUUGGAAACCCACAUGUGAAUUCUCUUAAUGGUUUCCACUGUCCAUAUAGGAGCAGGAAGUUAUCAAGCUUAAGCAGCAGCUCAGUGAGUUUAUUGAGGAGAGGCAAGGGUAAGCAUCAAAGGAAAUCAUCAAAGGUCUUCCUAAGGGAUUAAAGAUUGUUGAUCUUUCAGCGGUAUGCUUUGUGUUCCUGUAUGUUGUCUUGUUUAAGCCAUCAUGCAAUAAUUUGAAAACUCAGAGUUUGCUAAUGUCAAGUCUUAUCUUGUAAUGUGUUUAGGACUUCCGGUUACGAGAUAUUUCUGAGUAUGAAUGUUGUUUGAGGUAUGAUUCUUCGGCCUAUAUUUUAGGUUGUGGAUAGAUUUUAUUGGCUCACUUGCUUCAGCUUUUCUGCCUAGGAAGAGGCAGGUGCAGCUUUUAAUUGAAUUGUAUGGUAUGGUGGCACUGAUUUCAUAGCAGUUUUCUUUUUCGAGUUUAUGAAGUUUGAUCCGUUGUUUGUGGACAGACGGAAUGAAAUAAAUGUUUUGCUUGUCUAAUU
Long non-coding RNA from Populus trichocarpa (black cottonwood), 1651 nucleotides. RefSeq lists it as uncharacterized. Lineage: Eukaryota; Viridiplantae; Streptophyta; Magnoliopsida; Malpighiales; Salicaceae. The transcript is spliced from 6 exons. The record is from RefSeq and is a predicted model, not a curated record.